AAGUUAAGCAUCAUUGGGCGCGGUCAGUACUUGGGUGGGUGACCACCUGGGAACACUGCGUGCCGUU
Molecule: non-coding RNA, 67 nt
Organism: Caerostris darwini
Lineage: Eukaryota; Metazoa; Arthropoda; Arachnida; Araneae; Araneidae
Source: the annotation of a GenBank genome assembly